CCAAUCAUGGUAAUCGAUUAAACCUGCGCAGGCAGCUGUAGUAGCUCUGUUUUUUACACAGUGUACUUUUUGGGUCACCCCCUUUUCCACCUACUUUCCCUAUAAAUAGAGGUACUAUUUCCCCUCAUUUUUCAUGCUUCCUAGCCCUCAAAAGUUCUGUCCAAGUACCAUUUACUCUCCUCUCCAAACCUAGGUAAAAAAAAAAAUCUUUCUCACUUAGAAAAGUCACCCCACCAACCUUUUUUGUCCUCUUUCAUAUUUUUUUUCGAAACUUCUUACUCUCUAACGCUCAUAACUCAGCUCCUUCACCAUACUUCCACCAUAAACACUUCCAUCCCAAACCCCUUGCUUCAUAUCCAAGCUCAACACCAUUCCAACCUACCUUUUUCCAACAUUUUUGGGGUAAUGAUUUUAGCUUAAAAUUUGUUAACUUUUUGGUUUUGUUUUUGUGUUGAAAAUGGUUGUUUAUUCUUGGUUGAUCUUUUGAGAGGUUUUAGACCCAAGCUUGUAAAAAAUGAUUAACUUUGGUUUACACCAUUUUUUUGGGAUUUCUUGCUCUUGCUACUUUUAUCCACCAUCUUUAAUCAAGCUUAGUAUUUUGUUUCAUUUGAUAUUUAUUGUGGACUUGUUUUCACAUUUAUUUGGUUGAUGAGAUCUAUUAGAUUAUGGCCAUGGUUGUCUAGAGUUGAUAAAACCUUCAAUGUUUCAAACCUAUUAAUGAUUGAUCAAUAGAUCCUUCAUGAUACUUUGAGGCAUUGAUAGGUUGUCUUUAUUUCAACCAUGUUUGGGUCAUUUGAUACAUAGAUGAAACCAUUUUCUUUACAUUAACUUGUUAUUCUACUAACACCUAACCACUAACUACUAACUCCUAACAUUUACAUUAUUGCACUUUACUUCCUUGUAAUUUAUUUUAUUGUUCACUUUAUUUCAAGUACUUUAUGUUUAUGUUUAUGGACUUAGGGUUGCAUAACUUUCUUUGUUACAAAUCUAUUGUUAAUUGAUUUUUCAAUCAUCUUCAAUACUUUGCAUCAAUGACAAGCUAUCCCUUAGUGUGUCAUGUUUUGAGUCUUUUUGACAUAUGAAAAAUAGUCCUCAAGACGUUCAUUUUGUACAUAUUACUAACCACUAAUUAUACUUCACUAACUUUGUUUAUUAUUAACCUUUGUUAUUGCGAUUUUGUUACCAUUAACUUAUGGUUUAUUUUGUGUCAUUUCCAUUCACUAACCAUUAUUAUUGUGAUAUUGUCAUUCUUUAUAUUAUGAUUUACUUUUAUGUCAUUAUCUUAUAAUUUACAUUCAAGUACUCAUUAUCAUCAUCAUUGUACAAAUUCAUCAUGCAUGUUUAUUUACUUGUUAUUUAUUUUAUUGUCAUCAUACAUUAAAAAUAACAAAAACAUGAUAAGAUGGUAAGACCAAAAAUAUUCAUUCCACUCUUAAUCAACUUGGAUUUAUUGGAUUUCAUCUUAGGACCUUUGCUUGGAAGUCUUCCUUUACUCUUUGUGAUAUUUUCUAAACACUUGGAUUUUCAUCCUAACUUACAUGAAUAUUGUAAGAAUGGCAUCAAUGGCACCACCUUAGGGGGACAUGUUUGUAAGACCAUUAUCCUUUGUUUAACUUAGGUCACUUUAGCACACAAAAGGCUUUCUCUUGGGCUACCUUACAAUGAGACUCUUUAAUUUCUUGUUGGUUACUUUGCAUUCACGUUACAUUAGCUAAAAUUCGUAAGCAAUCUCAUUUCGAGACCAUUUUCAUAAUUCAAUUCAUAUGCACAUAUAAAUACAAACCUCGGUCAACAUCGAGUGCGCCUUUCCCAAAUCAAUUCGAAACACCUUUGUAAGUCGAUCGCUUUUAGCAUCGCCAUCAACCUCACAUAGCUUACUCUUAGGCUUUCUUACAAUGAGACCUAUUCGGUUUUAAUUAAUCGAUUAGAUGAACUACUCACUAAUUAAAUCCAAUCCAUUCGUAAACAUAAAUUUUAAACCUCGAUCCAAUGUUGAGUAUUUUUAUUCAAAUUAAUUAAAAUACCUAAUCACGGUUAAACACCAUUUCAUUUGGAAAUGAAAAGGGGGAUGGUUUUGAGUUUUCAAUUCCUCUCCUCGAUUAUUUGAAUACGAGUUCUCUUACUCGGUUAGUCAAAUAAUCGUCAUUUCCAAUCCACUCAAGCACAAAUAAAUCAAAUCCUUUUACAUUAAGGAAUAAAAAGGGAGAUAACUUUGAAUCUUCAAUUUUUUUCUCCUCGACUAUUUGAGUACAAGUUCUCUUACUUGUUUAGUCAAAUAAUUGUCGUUCCUCUACAAACCUCCAAACCCCGAUUAAAUCAAAAUAUUUUUUACAAUAAGUUGAAUGAAAAAGGAGUUGACUUUGAGUUUUCAACUUUAAACCCCGAUUAAAUCAAAAUAUUUUUUACAAUAAGUUGAAUGAAAAAGGAGUUGACUUUGAGUUUUCAACUUCACUCCUCAAUUGGACGAAUACGAGUUCUCUUACUCGGUCAGUCGAACAAUUGUCAUUUUCUCCGCAAACAUAUGAUUCAAUCAAACCACUUUCAUAACAAAUUAUACGAAAAAGGAGAUGGUUUUGAGCUUUCAACUCCUCUUCUCAAAUGCUUGGAUGUGAGUUGUUUUACUCAGUCGUUCAAGUACUUGUCGUUCAUUCUAAAAUACGUCAAACAUAUACAACCUUAUUUUCAUAAAUACUCAGAUGAAACAGAGAGCGGUUUAGAGUCUUCUAUUCCCUUUCUCGGUUAUUAGGAUACGAGUUGUCUUACUCGACUAUACGAGUAAUCGUCAUCCAACCAAAAAUAUCUCAACACAUCAAACCUAUCUUUUCUCGCCCUCGUGCGAUCAUAACCAAUCAAACAAAACACCCAACGUAUUAAUUCAACUUGUCACCCUCGUGUGAUCAAAACUCUUUUCAGAAAGAACACUAUUUAAUCCUUUCUAAUGCGCAUAACAAACCAAUACUUAAGCCUCCGCCAAGAGUAGACAAACCAAUGUUUAGCCUUUAGAACGCGAUCUAAAUAGUUGUUCGAUAAAAGACACCAGCCAACCGUAGUUUCCCGAACUAUGAAUGCUCUGAUUUCCUUAUUUAAGGAUACGUAGGAAGGAGAUUGCUGUAUCUUCGCGAGCACACCAAUAAAAAAAACCUCCUCUUUCCCUUUAUGAGGUUCUCAUUCAUUUCUAUUUUAAAUAAUUUUAUGACCCAAAAGAUAACAAACAAACAUAAAUUAACACUCAAAACACACAUUAGAACUAAAAAGUCCCUGUUGAGUACAACGGACGUAAGAGGUGCUAAUACCUUCCCUUUACAUAAUCCACUCCCGAACCCGAAUAUGGUUGCGACGACCGUUAUUCUACUUUUCAAAGGUUUUAUCGAUAUUUUCCUAUUCCUUCAUUGGGAUAAAUAAAGUUCGGUGGCGACUCUGUUCGAACAUAAUUUUUUCCGCGGCCAUCGCGAGGAAUCGUAUUUUUCGAGAUGCGACAGAUGGUGACUCUACCGGGGAUUAGCUCCAAGCAAAAGAGAGUAAAGCCUAAUUUAGUUCAGUUUCUGUAUUGUGUGUUAAUCUUGUUUGUUUGUUUUUUGUUUAUUCUGCUAUUAUUAUGAUGUCACAAUUAUUGUCUGGUGUUUCUAUUGACUAUGUAUUAUUAGGGUUCUCUGGUUGGUGAUGUUUUGUGAGAUAGACUCUCCACCCGAGUCUGAGAAAAACCAUAAGAUUAAGUUGGUGGUUGCAUAGUGGGCGCCCACAAGGAGUCUUCCUUGUUGGGAAGAAAUGAAGACCCCGCCUAGAGGAGAUUCUCUUGAGAUAUUAUUGCCCGACGAGUCUUCGUCAUGAAGAUAGUAUUCUCAAGUUGGAUCAAUGACUCUAGGGACCUUUUAACCCAUUAUAUCCGGUGGUUGUAUAGUAUCUACCUGAAAAGUCCCAGACUUAUUGGGUUAAUACGAAAGCCCCAAUCAGAUGAGAUCCCUUGGGCGUAUUACUACCUUAUAGUGGUAUUCCCAACCUCGAUCUAUGACUCUGAGAACCUUAUUAGAACCUUGGACUCGAGAAGUUUUGUAGUAUGGACCCACAAGGAGUUUUCCUCUUUGGGAUCAUACGAAGGCCUCACCCAAACGAGACUCUGUUUGGGGAUGUUAUUUGCAGAUGAGUUUUCGUCAUGACAAUAACUUUCCUAAAUAGUGAUUGAUGACUUUGGGAACCUCUUACCUUUAGCAUCCUCCCAAAAGGGUUUUGUUUAGUAGCCAAGAAUACCCGCUCUCACGACCUGUAUAUUAACCUACAUGUGGCACGCAUAACAUCAUUCAUAGCAUCACAUUCAUACUAUUUUAUUUCCAAGGAAUCUGAGUAUCAUGAGUUGCAGGAAUUCAAGAAAUAUGGAAUCAAGCAAAAGAAACAUUUACUCCUUCAAGUUCAAAGAUCCCGAUCUAAAGAGCUUACAUGACUUGGUCUCUCAGAUGCACCCGAUAUACAGAAUCAACUUUGGAAAGAAUUAUGGCAACCUGCUCAGCAUCCUCAAUCAGCAAGUGGACCAUACAACCGUAAUCACUCUAGCCCAAUUCUAUGACCUACCUUUAAGAUGCUUCACAUUCCAAGAUUUCCAGCUAGCACCAACGUUGGAAGAAUUCGAGCGUCUUGUUAGGAUUCCUAUGAAGAACAAGCCACUAUUUGAAGGGAUAGAUGAAUCUUUGCCCCUUGAGGUCAUUGCUAGUGCGCUUCACAUGGUUUAGGAUUCCUAUGAAGAACAAGCCACUAUUUGAAGGGAUAGAUGAAUCUUUGCCCCUUGAGGUCAUUGCUAGUGCGCUUCACAUGGAUGAAAAGGAAGCAGAGGCUAACUUAGAGACCAAAGGGAAGACCAAAGGAUUUUCACUAAGUUUUAUUUUGGAAAGAGCUCAUACCCCAUUGAAGGCAGAAAGUUGGGAUGCUUGUUAUUCUGCUAUUGCAUUGGCCAUCUAUGGCAUCGUCCUGUUCCCGAAUAUGGAUGGUUUCAUAGACAUGACUGCCAUUUGUGUUUUCCUUACUAGGAACCCAGUACCCACUUUGUUAGCAUAUGUAUAUUAUUACAUAAGUCAUAGGUAUACUAAGAAGAAGGGAUUGAUUACUUGUUGUGCUCCUUUAUUAUAUUAGUGGUUUCUAGAACAUAUUCCGAAGACAGGUGCUUGGGUUGAACAAACAGAUGUUAGUUGGCCUCAGAGAUUGGGAUCACUCCGGUCUGAAGAUCUCUCUUGGUACUCCAAAUAAUACAUCAACAUGGAUAUCAUAUUCAGUUGUGGAGAUUUCCCAAAUCUACUGCUUAUUGGAACUCAAGGAUGUGUGAAUGCUAAUCCAGUCCUAUCACUCAGACAACUUGGCUACCCAAUGGAAGGCCCUCCAGAGGCAAAUUCUUUGGAAGCUUUCUUGUUACUUGACUUUGGGGUUGAGAAUCCUAGCUUAUUCCAGCGAAUCAAAGAGGCUUGGAGGAAUGUCAAUCGAAAAGGGAAAGUUGAUUUAGGGAGAGCAAAUGGGAUUACAAAAGAACCAUAUUUUCAAUGGGUAAAGGAAAGGGUGCAGAUGAUUAAAAUGCCAUUUGUCAUUCGGACACCUAUGCCUCUUCCUGAACCUAAGCUCACCCAUGUCCCUAUUGAAGAAAUGGAGGAACUCAAGACCACCAUGGCAAAGCUAGAAAAAGAGAAUGAAAAGUUACAGAUAAAACUCCAACAAACCAUCAAUGAGAAAAACAAUAUGAAGUGGGAGCUUGAGAGAAAAGAGGCACAACUUCAAGCCCAUGUGGAAAAGUUCAACAAGGAGGAGCAUAAGAGGAAAAAGAUCAUGGGAUUAGAACAAGCUGAUCAUUAUUUAGAUACUCUUAAGGGUCAACUACGACAAACUCAGAAAGAAUGUCAAGACAAUGAGUCAUUGGUGGCAUCCUAGCCACGAAGGAAACAAACAAUAAGGGAUACACUUGGGGCUCAGAUAAAGGAGCUCACCAAUUCUGUUCGUCAUGCAAAGGCUGAAGUAGAUUCAGGAGCGCCAACUCAAGAAUAUAGUCACUGAAGCUUCUAGGGUGUCACCCAUGAUAUGGGAAGAGAAGUGUUGAGAAGUAAGAGAUGGCAAGGAGUCUGUCAGCUAUUGGAAGAACCAGCUAGAGUCAUUACGCAGACAACUCCAUAUGGGUUGAAAGAGCGAGACUAUGUGAUUGAGGAUUAUGAAUCCUUUAAGAAGACCAUAGACUUCUUACAAGGAGAUAGGGAUAAGUUUCGUGCAAAACUCGAUGGGCUAGUAGGGUUCUGUAAUUGGGCAGCUAAAGAAUUACCAUGGAAGUUGAGAGAUGCAGUCAAAGAAUUGAAAGAAGAUAGCACUCCUCCAGCCAUAAUCAGUUUCAUUCUGCUUUGUAAAGGGUUUCUGGAGAGAUUCAAUGAGGAACUAGAAGAGCUUCAGGCCAGAAAGCCAGCUGUUUAAUUUGCUUAUGUCUUGUAUUUUGUUCCUUUAACAAAUGUAGUUUUGAACUAUGACCUUCUUUGGACCCCUAUGUUAUGUACUUGAAUAAAUGACGUUUAAAAAUUACUCCAUUAUUGCUAUUCUAAGUAUUUAUUGUUUCUUCGAAUUACUAACAACUAAUGAAACUCGAAUAAUUCCCUGAAAAUAAAAUACGCAUGACAUUCGCAUCUUCAUUAUGCAUCAUGCUUCAUAAAAAUUCAAAAAAAACUUACCCAACCUUUUUACCCUUUAUCCAGCCACACUGACUAAUCAACACCGAUACGAGACGCGAAGCAAAUACAAGAUGACAUUAGAGCGAGUUGAGGCCAAUCAAGUUACCAUGAGGACAAACAUCAAUACGAUCCAGGAGAAGAUGGAUCAGUUGUUGGAGACAAUGCUCGCGGUCGCUCAGAGAGAGAAGAUUGAGGAGGAAAAAGCUAGGGCAAAAAGGAAUAAUAGCACGCCAGGUCUGAACCCCCAGGACGAGGGUUACGUCCCCACCAAGAAAAGAUUGGUUCAGAUACCGGUAGGAGGCAAAUGAGAUGGAAACCGUGUAGAACCUUCUGAUAUGUCUACUCAUCAUGGAUCCGAAAUUGGAGAUGACCAAUAUGAUGCAUUCUAUAUGCCUGAUCAACCAAAACCUAAGUUACUUCCAUAUCCUGCUGCAGAUAGGCUUCAUGCCCUGGAAAAGAAGAUCAAAGCCAUAGAAGGAAACAAUAUCUUUAGUGCUUCUGCCAUGAACAUGCGCUUGGUAUCGAAUUUAGUCAUCCCGGCUAAAUUUAAAACUCCUGAUUUCGAGAAAUACAAAGGACAGACUUGUCCAAGAAGUCACCUGGUAAUGUACUUCAGAAAAAUGGCUGCUCAUACCAAAAACGACAAACUACUUGUACACUGUUUCCAAGACAGUUUGAGUGGGGCAUGUCUGAGAUGGUACAUGAGCUUAGAGCAAGGGCGGAUUCAAAGCUAGGAGGAUUUGGCUGACGCAUUUCUCCGUCAGUACAAAUAUAACUUAGAUAUGGCACCCGACCGAAUGCAGUUGCAAGGGAUGGCUAUGAAGGAGAGUGAGUCAUUCAAAGAAUAUGCCCAGCGGUGGAGAGAGUUGGCUGCUCAGGUAGAGCCAUCAUUGUCUGAGAAGGAAAUGACCGGGAUAUUUGUGGACACCUUGAAGGACCCAUUCUUUGAUCGAUUACUGAGCAGUGCAGCAUCUGACUUCGCACAUCUAGUCACAAUUGGAGACCGCAUAGAGAAGGGGUUAAGGGAUGGAAAGAUUCCAAGAGCAGUGACAGCACCUAGUGCACCGAAGAAGUAUUCUGGAGGCUUCUCGAAGAAAAGAGAAGGUGAAACAAACGCCAUAUCCAGAAACUAUAAAGGGAAGCAACAAGCUUCAUAUGGUCAAGUCGCCGCGUGGUGCCUAUACCCUACCAACAGCCAGUGCAACAACAACAAAUGUAUCAACCAUAACAUCAACAACAUCAUCAUCAGCAAAAUGCUGCACCACCAAGACAAUUCAAGCCAAGACCUCCAAGAAGGCAACUUGAUCCCCUACCAGUACCUUAUAGUCAGAUAUUCCCAUAUCUGCAAAAAGAGGGCCUUCUAACAUUGAGGGAGUUAAAACAAGCUAUUUUUCCAUAUCCACCUAGAUACGAAGCUAAUGCCCAUUAUGAGUUUCACAUGGGAGCACCUGGUUAUACCUUGGAAAAUUGUUUCGCAUUUCAAAAUCGGGUACAAGACUUGAUCGAAGCCAAGGCCGUUUCUUUCACUCCGAGAUGCCCGAACGUAAACACCAAUCCUAUGCCAACACAUAAGGAUGCUUCCGUUAGUGCAUUAAGGAGGGUGAUCAAGGUAAAUUGAUCCGUAAGGUUGAAGAGAUUCAAACCCCUAUCACCAAAAUAGGAGUACAAUUGCUGAAGAGUGGUCUGAUCCCGAAGGAGUUGGUUGAGGAAGAGAACAAUGAAGAGCUGAGGAGUUUUAUACAACAAAUGCUGGAUCGAUGCGAGUUACAGAUGAAUUGUUGUGUCAAUAACAAGCGCCAGAAAGAGAUAGCCAUGGUGGACAUCCCUUAUGAUGAGGUUAAAGUGGAAAUACCUAUAAGCCCAUUGGUAAUAGAGUUUCCAACACCGUUUGCAUAUAAAGAUGAGAAGGCAGUCCCGUGGAUAUAUCAGCCCAGAGCUUUUAAGCAGGGGCAGGAAGACCAACCUUUGAUGAUCAACGAACCAAAUGUCACUUCAAUUGUGGGGCCGGCAGGGAUGACACGUAGUGGCAGAGUGUUCGCACCAAGAACUGCUGAUACUUCUGCAAAAGCCAAAGGGAAGGAAGCCGCUGUCCAGAUCCCCAUCCCUAAUCAAAAAAUGCAAGACAUGCACCUAUCUCCUAAAGCUGCAGUUACUCGUGAAGAGGCCGAGGAAUUUCUGAGGAUAAUCAAGAAGAGCGAUUAUAAGGUGGUGAACCAACUGAAUCAAACACCUUCAAAGAUCUCCAUGUUAUCUCUAUUGCUCAACUCAGAAGCACACAUGAAUUCACUAUUGAAGGUAUUGAGCGUCGCUCAUAUCACAAAGGACAUAAAGAUAGAACAAUUUGAUGACGUGAUAGCUUGUGUGACUACUAGAAAUUUCUUGGGUUUUAAUGAUGAUGAACUACCAAUCGAGGGAAAGAACCAUAAUAAGGCCCUCCAUAUAUCCUUGAAAUGCAUAGAUACUAUAUUGUCAAGAGUGUUAGUAGACACAGGUUCCUCAUUAAAUGUCAUGCCGAAGACAACUUUGAUAAAGCUGCCAAUGGAAGGAAUAAGUAUGAAACCUAGUACCCUAAUCGUAAAAGCAUUUGAUGGCUCAAGGCGAGCAGUGAUAGGAGAAGUUGACUUACCAACCAAGAUAGGUCCAACUAUUUUCAAUAUCAUAUUCCAGGUCAUGGACAUACAUCCUGGUUACAGUUGCCUACUUGGGAGACCUUGGAUUCACUCUGCGGGUGCUGUCACCUCUACUCUGCAUCAAAAACUGAAAUUCAUUAUAAAUGACAAGAUGAUUGUGAUUGGAGGAGAAGAAGAUAUCUUGGUUAGUCACUUAACAUCUUUCCGAUAUAUCGAGGUGGAUGGUGAAAUCACUGAGACACCAUUCCAAUCUUUGGAAGUGGUAAACAUGAUGGUCGUCCAACAGACCUUGGAGGUCCCGAAAUCAGGACCAUCCAUGGCCUCGUGGCAAGGAGCUAAAGCUGUUAUGGAAAGUGAAGAUGCUCAAGACUGGGGCAAAGUGGUGGAAGUGAAAGAGAAAUGAGACAAGUUUGGCCUGGGGUAUGACCCAUCAUCACACAAAGCCGGUAACCAACCUAACAAAGAGAAGAUUCCUUCUAUAGAGAAAACGUUCACCAGCGCUGGCUACAUCUUUGGCAAGCAGGUGGAAAUGAUCAGCGAAGAAGAUCGCAAAGAGGGGGUGUCCAGCUGGAUGCGUCAAGCUCCACCUAAUGAAGAACUGACAAACUGGAAGGUUGUGGAAGUUCCCCAAAUAUUUCAAAAGUAAUUUUAUCAUUUUAGACAAAAACCUGUGCUCUGCCCAAGGCACAAUGGCAUGUUGUAGGGCCUCCUUUAUCUUUUUCAAGAGUUUUUAUCAUUAAUGAAAUGACGUUUUGCAUCCAAAUUUUUGUUCAUUUCCUUUCGUUUUUAUCUAUUUACAAAAAUGGCAAUCAAUUUUUAUGCACGCACUUUUUAAAUAAACUGCAUAAAUCAUAACAUGCAGAAACACCACCGAGACCGUUGAUAACGACACUGCUAUGGUCCAAUAUGACUUUGAUUGUCCAAUCUACCAAGCUGAAGACAAAGUGGGGGAAGAUUGCGAACUCCCUGAAGAGUUUACCAGAUUACUCAGACAAGAAGAAAAGGUCAUUCAACCACACCAAGAGGACGUUGAGGUUAUCAAUCUGGGUAUAGAAGAAGAUAAGAGAGAAGUAAGGAUACGCGCCACGCUUCAAGAUACAGUGAAGACAAGACUGAUAGAGCUCCUCCACGAAUAUGACGACGUGUUUGCUUGGUCAUACCAAGACAUGCCUGGAUUAGAUACUGAUAUUGUGACUCACAAGCUUCCCCUUAAAGAAGAAUAUCCUGCUGUCAAACAAAAGCUAAGAAGAACUCGACCUGAUAUGGCUCUCAAGAUCAGAGAAGAGGUGAGAAAGCAGUUUGACGCUGGUUUCCUGGAAGUUGCCAAAUACCCACAAUGGGUUGCCAACAUUGUACUAGUACUGAAGAAAGAUGGAAAAGUCCGCAUGUGCGUAGACUACCGAGACUUGAACAAAGCCAGUCCCAAAGACGAUUUCCCGUUACCUCACAUUGAUGUAUUGGUAGAUAACACAGCUCAGUUCUCAGUGUUUUCCUUCAUGGAUGGUUUCUCUGGAUACAACCAAAUUAAAAUGGAUCCCGAGGACAUGGAGAAGACCACAUUCAUUACCCCUUAGGGCACCUUUUGUUACAAAGUAAUGCCGUUUGGAUUAAAGAACGCCGGGGUAACAUAUCAACGUGCCAUGGUGACUCUCUUUCACGACAUGAUUCAUGAAGAGAUUGAGAUGUAUGUCGAUGACAUGAUUGCCAAAUCCUAGACAGAAGAAGAACACAUCACCAACCUGGGGAAACUAUUCGCUCAUUUGAGGAAGUUUAGGUUGAGACUUAAUCCUAAUAAAUGCACAUUUGGGGUUUGAUCUGGGAAGCUUUUAGGCUUCAUUAUAAGCCAAAAGGGAAUUGAAGUAGAUCCUAACAAGGUCCGAGCCAUUCAGAACAUGCCUGCACCAAAGACUGAAAAGGAGGUUCGUGGUUUCUUGGGGAGACUAAAUUACAUCGCCAGGUUUAUCUCUCACCUUACUGCAACAUGUAAACCAAUAUUCAAGCUUUUAAGGAAGAAUCAAGGCGUGGAGUGGAACGACGACAGCCAAAUAGCCUUCGACAAAAUCAAAGAAUACUUACAAGAGCCACCAAUUCUGAUGCCCCCUACAGAAGGGAGACCUCUCAUCAUGUAUCUAACCGUGCUCGACGAGUCCAUGGGUUAUGUAUUGGGACAACAAGAUGAGACUGGUAGAAAAGAGUAUGCCAUCUAUUAUCUGAGCAAGAAAUUUAAUGAUUGUGAGACCAGAUAUUCAUUACUCGAGAAGACUUGUUGUGCACUCGCAUGGGCUGCUAAGCGUCUCAGGCAGUACAUGCUAACUCACAGACUUGGUUGGUAUCUAAAAUGGAUCCCAUCAAGUACAUAUUCGAGAAACCAGCUCUCACUGGUAGAAUUGCCCGGUGGCAGAUGUUGUUGUCAGAAUACGAUAUCCAAUAUGUCGUGCAAAAGGCGAUCAAAGGAAGCAUAUUAGCAGAUCAUCUGGCUCACCAAUCACUGGAGGAGUAUCAAUCUUUGAAGUUCGACUUCCCAGAUGAGAACAUCAUGGAUGUUGAAGACUCCGAACUAGAGGAAAGUUUUGAGCCAAAAGCAGGCUGGACGCUCAUGUUUGAUGGUGCCUCGAAUGCAAUAGGCCAUGGAAUUGGGGCAGUGCUGAUAUCUCCCAAGAAUUUCCAUCUACCGUUCACUACAAAGCUUUGUUUUACCUGCACAAACAACAUGGCCGGGUAUGAAGCUUGCAUAUAGGGUUGGAAGAAGCUAUUGAGUUGAAGAUCAAGAUACUAGAAGUAUUCGGGGACUCCGCUCUAGUCAUACAUCAGAUCAGAGGCGAUUGGGAAACAAGACAUGCUAACCUAAUUCCAUACCGGAUUAUGUACUGAAGCUACUCCCAAAGUUUCGACGAAAUCAUUUUCUCUCAUAUUCCUCGAGAAGAGAAUUAGAUGGCAGAUGCUUUAGCAACUCUGGCUUCCAUGUACAAAUUGAUAUGGCCCAACCAUCAACCUCAUAUUGAAUUAGGCUUUUGAUGAACCUGCUCAUUGCCUGACGACAACAGAAGAGCCAGACGGUAAACCCUGGUUCUUUGAUAUCAAACAAUAUCUGGAGAAGCGGGAAUAUCCGGCAGAGGCUUCCAGCCUUGACAAAAGGACGCUCGGAGGUUGGCAUCAAAAUUCCUCUUGAAUGGAGAGGUAUUGUACAAGCAAAACUAUGACAUGGUUUUGUUGAGGUGUGUGGACAAAAACGAAGCGGAUCAGCUUAUGAGGGACAUACACGGUACGCACGCCAAUGGGUAUGCCAUGGCAAAGAAAAUACUAAGGGUAGGUUACUACUGGAUGACGAUGGAAGCCGAUUGUUAUCACUACACCAGAGCAUGCCACAUAUGCCAAAUCUAUGCUGACAAAAUACAAAUACCGCCUACCCCGCUGAAUGUCAUAGCGUCACCUUGGCCUUUCUCUAUGUGGGGCAUCGACAUGAUUGGAAUGAUAGAUCCCAAAGCAUUAAAUGGACACCGGUUUAUCUUGGUGGCCAUAGAUUACAUUACCAAAUGGGUGGAAGUCGCGCCUUAUGCGAAUGUCACAAAGCACGUAGUCGCCCGUUUCUUAAAAAAUAACAUCAUAUGUCGAUAUGGGAUUCCCAACAAGAUCAUCAUUGAUAAUGGGUCCAAUCUCAACAACAAGACCAUGGAUGAGUUAUGCGCAACAUUCAAAAUUGAGCAUCAUAACUCAUCACCCUAUCGACCUAAGAUGAAUGGGGUUGUUGAAGCUGCAAAUAAAAAUAUCAAGAAAAUCAUCUAGAAGAUGGUUGUCAAGUACAAGGAUUGGCACAAGAUGUUACCUUUUGCGUUACAUGGCUAUCACACGUCGGUAUGAACUUCAACAGGGGCAACCCCUUAUUCCUUGGUAUAUGGUAUGGAAGCAGUUCUCCCUAUAGAAGUAGAGAUCCCCUCGAUGAGAGUCCUGGUGGAGGCUAAGCUAGACGGGGCAGAAUGAGUUCAAUCAAGGUAUGAUGAGCUCAACCUUAUUGAGGAGAAACGCUUGAAAGCGUUAGGUCACGGUCAACUCUAUCAGAGGCGUCUUAAAAAAGCAUUCGACAAGAAAGUUCGUCCCAGGGUGUUUCAAGAGGGAGAUUUAGUGUUGAAGAAAAUAUUGCCUAUUCACAAAGACUCCAAAAGGAAAUGGACACCAAAUUAUGAAGGUCUGUAUGUGGUGGUUAGAGUCUUUUCCAGAGGCGCUCUGAUCCUAGCUACUAUGGAUGGUGAUGAGUUGCCGCUUCCCAUCAACAUUGAUGCUGUUAAAAGGUACUUCGCCUAAAAAAGUGGAAUAGUAAAAGCCGCUAAAUCGAAAACCUGAAAGGGCGAUUUAGGCAAAAAAGGCUAUCCCGCUGGAUCGAAAACUCGAAAGGGCGAUCCAGGCAAAAAUUAGGGAUGAAAAUAAAAGGAUUUGACUCGCUGAGUUGAAAACCCGAAAGGGCGACUCAGGCAAAAAUGGGUAUCCCGGUGGAUCGAAAACCCGAAGGGGCGGUCCAGGCAAAAGUUAGGGAUUAAUUCCAAGGCAAAGAGUUGUACUUACAAACAUCUGACAUACCCUCGAAGACAAAGAAUCAAUCUACCUCACUUUUCAAAAGCAAAGUGCUCGGGCUAUCAAAGACAUAAGGAUCAUAGCAGUGUGGAAACUCAAUAAGAACUCAAUUUUCAUUGCCAUUUUGUUUCUAUGCACAACAAUUACCUCAUUAAGGAAUUGCAUCUUUAUGUACAAUCACCCAUUCAAGGGGCAAAUCAAUAAAAAAGAAAAUCUUCUCAACAAAAGUUCUGCCUAAAUCAUUUUUUAUAUUUUAUCUUUUUGCAAAGCACCUUUUAUUUUUGAUAAAACAUCACUUUUACAAAUUAUUGGAGAAAAUAAAACACAUGUUGGAAUAAAGUGGUAAAAUUGCUUUUGAAAUAGUAAGUGGACGAAUCCUUUAGUCUCCAAGAUUCAUUCUUGUUUUUCAUAAAGGUUUAGGACUGAUUGUAGAUAGUCAUGCUCCUUUCAACUAUUAAUUCAUACCUCUCAUAAAUGUACUCACGGUAUAGCCAAAUUGGGGCAAGGCUCUAUUACGUUUUCGGCAGAAACAUUGAUAAAUCAUGGAUAGAGUAUCGCGUGUUGAGAAGUCUGAACCCUUCAGUAACAUGGAGCAACCCAAGCAUAUUCCCAAAAUCACCUAGUGGGGCAUCAAAACUUGGUCUUCAUUGAUCACCCCAAUAACAAAAGUCCACACUAUUGGCAUCAUACCCCAAAGCAAAAAUGUCUUAACUAGGGGCAUGUCCAAUUACCCAUUUGCAUUCUAACAUGCAUCAUAUAAAUCAUUCAUAAAUGGCUUUCCUACCAAACAGAAAAUUUCAAAGAAACACAGUCAUAUCAAUCAUCAGCAUACUCAGGCAUAAUACUUCCCCAAAACGAAAAUUUCAACAAAAUAAAAAUCAUUCGCAUUCCUACAUGCACAGCCAAAUAUCCCCAGCAAAUUGCAUAUUUGCAUACAUCCCAUGCGUCAUCCCAUGCAUGGAAAUCCCACCUAAAGUGGGACAUCAUACAAAAAUCACACCAAAAUAUCAGGAUCGAAUGUCAUUCAUGUAUAUCUUGGACAUUCCUCAUUUCCAAAUAAAGUUAUUACCAUGCAUGCGCUCGUGGAAUCAUUUCCCGGCAAACCACUUUUCAACUUUAUGAUUAAUAAUGAUAUUCCCAAUAUUUUUCUUUACAAUCGUUGCUCCCUAAGCAGAGGUUACCAUAAAAAGUCUCUUAUGAGCUUUUCCCCUGUAGAGCAUUUCUAGUAAAUCUCCCUCAAAAGGAGUCUUUUCUUAAAAUUCCCCCAACGGACGAAUAUUCGAGAUACUGCUUCAUUUACCUGAAGAAUCUCAUUUUUACUGUUUGAGAUGUUGCUUCAUCAAUAUGAAGAGUCUCAUUUCAGAUUUUCUUUAGAGAUAUUACUCUAAUAUCCUCGGAGAGUCUUAGAUUUAAUUAAGGUAUCUUUCCCUUGUUGGAAUAUCUUAAUUCUAUCAUAUAAGAUGCUGCUUCGACUCGAUACAGAGAAUCUCAUUUUUACUGUUUAAGAUACUGCUUCAUCAAUAUGAAGAGUAUCAUUUCAGAUUUUCUUUAGAUAUACUGCUCUAAUAUCCUUAGAGAGUCUUAGAUUCAAUUAAGGUAUCUUUCCCUUGUUGGAAUAUCUUAAUUCUAUCAUAUAAGAUGCUGCUUCGACUCGAUACAGAGAAUCUCAUUUUUACUGUUUGAGAUACUGCUUCAUCAAUUGUAUCUUUCCCUUGUUGGAAUAUCUUAAUUCUAUCAUAUAAGAUGCUGCUUCGACUCGAUACAGAGAAUCUCAUUUUUACUGUUUGAGAUACUGCUUCAUCAAUAUGAAGAGUCUCAUUUCAGAUUUCUUUAGAGAUACUGCUCUAAUAUCCUCAGAGAGUCUUAGAUUCAAUUAAGGUAUCUUUCCCUUGCUGGAAUAUCUUAAUUCUAUCAUAUAAGAUGCUGCUUCGACUCGAUACAUAGAAUCUCAUUUUUACUGUUUGAGAUACUGCUUCGUCAAUAUGAAGAGUCUCAUUUCAGAUUCUUGUAGAGAUAUUGCUCUAAUAUCCUCGGAGAGUCUUAGAUUCAAUUAAGGUAUUUUUUCCCUUGUCGGAAUAUCUUAAUUCUAUCAUAUAAGAUACUGUUUCGACUCGAUACAUAGAAUCUCAUUUUUACUGUUUGAGAUACUGCUUCAUUUAUCUGAAGAAUCUCAUUUAUCUGUUUGAGAUACUGCUUCAUUUAUCCUAAGAAUCUCAUUUGUCUGUUUGAGAUACUGCUUCAUUCAUUUGAAGAAUCUCAUUUUUGUUUUCAAGAUACCGCUCUAAUAUCCUCGGAGAAUCAUAGAUACGAUUGAGGUAUCAUUCCCUUGUUGGAAUAUCUCGAUUAUGCCAUAUAAGAAACUGCUCCGUCGAUCCCCUGAGAAUAUUGUGUUUUCUGUUCGAGACAAUGUUCUGCUAAUUUUCAAAAAGUUUUAGAUACCAUUGAAGUAUCGUUCUAUUGUUAGAAUAUCUCAAUCAUGGCAUCCAAGAUGUUGCUCUGAUAAUUCCCAGAGAGUCUUGAUUGUUUUAUUUUACCUUCCGAUAACCUUUUCUUACUAUAUUUCUCACUGCAUUUUGUUUCCGCAUUUCUUCCUUACAUUUCAAAGGACAAAAUUCGGGUCUUUCUGAUAAUUCCCAGAGAGUCUUGAUUGUUUUAUUUUACCUUCCGAUAACCUUUUCUUACUAUAUUUCUCACUGCAUUUUGUUUCCGCAUUUCUUCCUUACAUUUCAAAGGACAAAAUUCGGGUCUUUCAAGUAUUUAAUUAUCUUCCACCGCAAAUGUACGAAGACUGUUGUCAUUCAUACUUUCUGGUUCAAGGUAGUUAAAUAGGGGUAACUGUCAUACCCCAAUUUUGUCCCUACCCCGAUACAAUUUUCAUCUGAUCCAUGGCCACACUGCACAUGCAUGCUUUCGUAAAUUCAUCAUCAUAAUUUCGUUGAACUUUCAUAACCAAAUACGUAUUACAUGGACCCAAGGCAUGGUGUUUACACCCCGGAAAAACUGGGGUUAUCCGGUUAAAGAUCAAGAAGAGAAAUAAGGGAAAAAUCAAUUUUUGUACUGUGUAAUCGAUUACCCUAAUCAUGGUAAUCAUUUACACAGAUAAGAAAUUAAUUUCCAAGCAAUUUUUGUACUGUGUAAUCGAUUAUCCUAAUCAUGGUAAUCGGUUACACAAACAAGAAAUUGAUUUCCAGGCAAUUUUUGUACUGUGUAAUAGAUUACCCUAAUCAUGGUAAUCGGUUACACAGAUAAGAAAUUGAUUUCCAGGCAAUUUUUAUACUGUGUAAUCGAUUACCCUAAUCAUGGUAAUCGGUUACACAGACAAGAAAUUGAUUUCCAGGCAAUUUUUGUACUGUGUAAUCGAUUACCCUAAUCAUGGUAGUCGAUUACACAGAUUAAAAAUUGACUUUCAGGCCAUUUUUGUACUGUGUAAUCGAUUACGCCAAUCAUGAUAAUCGAUUACACAGACUAAAAAUUGACUUCCAGGCCAUUUUGGAUGGUGUAAUCUAUAACAACCCAAUUUUAGUAUCUAUUUCUUAUAUUAUCAUUAUUAUAUUUUAUUUUAUUUAUUUGGAGUGUUAAUUAAUUAAUUGGUUGUUAGGUAGUAUAAUAAUUGAUUAUAUUAAUUAAUUUGGUGUGUUAAUUAAUUAUUUAGUUGAUAUGAGAUAUAAUUGAAUAAUUGAUUAUAUUAAUUAACUUGGUGGGUAUAUUGUGUUGGUUUAAUUUUAUUUGAAUUAAAUAGAGAUAUUAUAAUACCAGGUCUUAUUGGGCCUAUUAAUUAAAUUAGAGGUAUCAUUCUUUAAGCCCAAAUAUAAUACUAUAAAUAAGAGGUAGGAGAGUGAGAAGUAGGAUUCGUUUGAUCAUUUGACGGCAAUAGAGAAAGAAAAGAGGAAAAGUAAGGAGAAGAGGGGAAGAACAAGAGAGAAGCUAAGGUUCCAGAAAAUUGAAGAGGUAAGGGGGAGAAUCCUUAUUAUUAUGGGUUAGUAUGAUUGGGUCAAUGGGUAGAAAUAUGUUUAUGUUGAAAUCCCUAAUUUUUAUGAUUUUUGAAAUUGUUAGGUUUUGAUGAGUAUUCUUGAUUUGUGGUGAUUUAAUUGUGUUAAAAUUGUAAAUUAACCUUAUACACUUAGCGUAUUGUAUGAGUUAUAAUUUUUUGAGCGUUUGGCUUUUUACGAAAUCGAAAUCGGAGGUCCGAAAGUCCUCCAACGUGAAAAACGCUGAAAAUUUUGCAUUUUGUUUUGUGUUAACGCAGGAAUUGCAUUCUGUUUUGCGUUAACCGGUUAACCAAAAGCGUUAACCGGUUAACACUGUUGAAAAUCCGUUAGGAAUUGCAUUCUAUUUUGCGUUAACCGGUUAACCAAAAGCGCUAACCGGUUAACACUGUUGAAAUCUGCCAGGAAGUGCAUUCUGUCUCGCGUUAACCGGUUACCUGAAUGCGUUAACCGGUUAACACUGUUGAAAAAUGAAAAAUUGAGAUUUUAAAAGUUGUAUUCAUUUUGAAAUGAAAUCUAAGUGUGCGUGUUUGAUAAUUAGCCUAUAUUUGUGAAUGAUAUAUUGUUAUGAAUGUGUAUAUGUACCAUUGAUGGAUAAUUCAUAGAGUUGAAUUAUGGUGAUAUGUGGAAUGUUAAGAUGGUAGAGAUGAUCUUAAUUGCAUAUGUAUUGGUAUUUGUACAUUCAUUCAUGGCAUGGUCGGCUUCAUAGUGGAAGCGGUGAAACUGUGGGUUCACAUGGUAUUAGACGUUGAUCCUUGAAUGGAAAUAGGCGUAGCAGACGUUGAUCCUUAAUUGGAAAUAGGCGUAGUGGCUUUGAUCUUGUCCGGAUCGGAAGCGUGGCUUGGAUUCUAGAUAUUGAAUCGGAAAGCGGUGAAACGUUGGGUUCACAUUGAGGUACCACAUGCAUAGAGUCACAUGUCUUGCAUUGAGUCACAUUAGAGUUAUGUGAUAAUUGAAUGUAUGCAUUGAUGUGAUUGUGAGGUGUGUAUGAGAUAUGGUAAUUGAAUUUGGUGAUGUUUGGAUACAUAAUUUGGCAAAAUAUGUGAUUAUGUGAUAAUUGUAGUUAUGUGUAUAUUUGGGAAUAUAGUGUUGGAUUUUAAUAUUGUACUCCUUGAGUUUUGAUGGAUGUUUGAAACGUGUGAAAUAAAUGUUGGUUAAUAUUAUUGACAUGGUUAUACAAGGUGUGAUGAAUUCCGUUAAUUGUUGAUUUAAUCAUUGUGCCUUAUUAUACUUCUUCAUAAUGAUUUGAAUUCUCACCCUUCUGUUUGAAUGUUGCUUUACAUGGCAUCGUGCAGAUACUCCAGAGUAGUAGUGCGGAAGUAAGUGGACGGUAACUCACUCGAGAUUUAGCUGGAGAGGUUCCGUGUUUCAGUUUAGAGACUAAGUAGUGAGUCAAUGCUCUGGUCAUGUAACACUGGGUAGAUUAGUAGUAUUGAACUUGUAUCUUAUUUGGAUAUGCAUUAUGUUAUUACUUGUUUUAUUUUAUCUUGAGGUGAUUAUUGAGGGAUGAUCAUGGUAUGGGACAUGGAUCAUUUUAUGACAUACAUGAGUAUUCAUUAUUUUCCGCUGCGAACGCAUAUUCUUGAAUAUUCAUGAUAAUUGAAAGGUGUUAUUUUAAAUGACCAGGUGUAUGGUAUAUUGAUGAGGAAUGAUGUUUGGUUUUUGAAAGCUUUUAGUUUUUGAAAACAUCGAUGUGACACCCUUUUGUUUAUAUGCGUGCUUAUUUACUCUGAUUAUAUGUUAAGUAUUUUGGGGUAGAAAAAAGAGGUGUUACAUAAUCGAUUACCCCAAUCAUGGUAAUCGAUUACACCUGCGCAGACAGCUGUAGUAGCUCUGUUUUUUACACAGUGUACUUUUUGGGUCACCCCUUUUUCCACCUACUUUCCCUAUAAAUAGAGGUACUAUUUCCCCUCAUUUUUCAUGCUUCCUAGCCCCCAAAAGUUCGGUCCAAGUACCAUUUACUCUCCUCUCCAAACCUAGGUCAAAACAAAAAAUCUUUCUCACUUAGAAAAGUCACCCCACCAACCUUUUUUGUCCUCUUUCAUAUUUUUUUUUCAAAACUUCUUACU
This 19931-nucleotide long non-coding RNA is filed under the name Lathyrus oleraceus (garden pea). RNAcentral describes it as "Pisum sativum (pea) long non-coding RNA (PSAT_LNC010502)". The record is from RNAcentral. Lineage: Eukaryota; Viridiplantae; Streptophyta; Magnoliopsida; Fabales; Fabaceae.